This 729-nucleotide long non-coding RNA is filed under the name Homo sapiens (human). Its description in RNAcentral is "HSALNT0222573". Lineage: Eukaryota; Metazoa; Chordata; Mammalia; Primates; Hominidae. The record is from RNAcentral.
CUUGUCUCCCUCAGGACUGGACCUGGAUCCUGGGCCUGCAGUCAGAUUGCCAGUUUCACUUAGAGGUGGAAAUGUCAACCCACUGGUUGGAAUGGGAAGAGACUGGGUCCCACCAUAUUGCCUGGGCUGGCCUCGGACUCUUGACCCCAAGUGAUCCUCUGGCCUCAGCCUCCCAAGCAGCUGGAUUUACAGGCAGGCACCACCGCACCGAGCUAAAAGUUCCCCUCACACAGAGCGGAAGCACAGCCCUGGCAUCAAGUGGGAGCAUGGCCCAGGGCAAGGAGCUCUGGGAGUGCAGCCUGGGGCCUUGAAUGACCCGGAGGACUGGAUUUGAGGAGGGCGCCUCCUGAACCUUCUUCUGUCCUCUAGAGGGACUGCACCAGAUGGCAGCUUCCUGUGAGCGGGAGCCCUCAGGUCAGGAAUUGAGGGUGCAUCCAGCUGUGAGCCAGGGGCCAUGGAGCAAGGCUCACCCGCUUCCCAGGAGGUUCUCAAGGGCUGGGCUCUCAGGUAGAGAAACUGAAGCUCAUCAGACCUCUCGGCCACGGCUACUUCAGGCUCCUAGGAGACUCACCUGCCUGUAAAGAUGGUACCAGGAGCUAACAAUUGCUAGUGAAGUCUAAUAUGGGAGCUGCUAGCCACACGCGCUUCUGAGCAUUUGAAAUGCUGCUGUUCCCAAUUACAAUGUGUUAAAGGUGUAAAAUAUAUGCCAGAUUUUGAAGACAUUGUGCC